GACGAACGCUGGCGGCGUGCCUAAUACAUGCAAGUCGAACGCAUUUUCUUUCACCGUAGCUUGCUACACCGAAAGAAAAUGAGUGGCGAACGGGUGAGUAACACGUGGGUAACCUGCCCAUCAGCGGGGGAUAACACUUGGAAACAGGUGCUAAUACCGCAUAAUUCCAUUUACCGCAUGGUAGAUGGGUGAAAGGCGCUUUUGCGUCACUGAUGGAUGGACCCGCGGUGCAUUAGCUAGUUGGUGGGGUAACGGCCUACCAAGGCUGCGAUGCAUAGCCGACCUGAGAGGGUGAUCGGCCACACUGGGACUGAGACACGGCCCAGACUCCUACGGGAGGCAGCAGUAGGGAAUCUUCGGCAAUGGACGCAAGUCUGACCGAGCAACGCCGCGUGAGUGAAGAAGGUUUUCGGAUCGUAAAACUCUGUUGUAAGAGAAGAACAAGGAUGAGAGUGGAAAGUUCAUCCCUUGACGGUAUCUAACCAGAAAGCCACGGCUAACUACGUG
This 507-nucleotide ribosomal RNA is filed under the name uncultured bacterium. RNAcentral's name for it is "partial 16S ribosomal RNA". It matches the Rfam family "Bacterial small subunit ribosomal RNA", at positions 28 to 507 of the family's 1533-position model. The record is from RNAcentral.